RNAcentral lists this ribosomal RNA (466 nucleotides) under uncultured bacterium. Its description in RNAcentral is "partial 16S ribosomal RNA". It matches the Rfam family "Bacterial small subunit ribosomal RNA", at positions 28 to 507 of the family's 1533-position model. The record is from RNAcentral.
GAUGAACGCUGGCGGCGUGCUUAACACAUGCAAGUCGAACGGUAAGGCUCCAGCUUGCUGGGGUACACGAGUGGCGAACGGGUGAGUAACACGUGGGUGACCUGCCCUGCACUUCGGGAUAAGCCUGGGGAACUGGGUCUAAUACCGGAGAGGACCAUGGUGUGGAUACUGUGGUGGAAAGUUUUUUCGGUGUGGGAUGGGCCCGCGGCCUAUCAGCUUGUUGGUGGGGUAAUGGCCUACCAAGGCGGCGACGGGUAGCCGGCCUGAGAGGGUGGACGGGCACAAUGGGCCUGAGACACGGCGCAGACUCCAACGGGAGGCAGCGGUGGAGAGUAUUGCGCAGUGGGGGGGAGCCUGAUGCAGCGACGCCGCGUGGGGGAUGACGGCCUUCGGGUUGUGAACUCCUUUCUCCGUCGACGAAGAGUUUCUGACGGUAGAUGAAGAAGAAGCAACGGCUAACUACGUG